Molecule: ribosomal RNA, 750 nt
Filed under: uncultured bacterium
Lineage: Bacteria
Description: bacterial SSU rRNA
Rfam family: Bacterial small subunit ribosomal RNA
Source: RNAcentral
CAGGCCUAACACAUGCAAGUCGAACGGUGAAGCAGAGCUUGCUCUGUGGAUCAGUGGCGAACGGGUGAGUAACACGUGAGCAAUCUGCCCCAAACUCUGGGAUAAGCACUGGAAACGGUGUCUAAUACCGGAUACGAGCUGCGAAGGCAUCUUCAGCAGCUGGAAAGAACUUCGGUUUGGGAUGAGCUCGCGGCCUAUCAGCUUGUUGGUGAGGUAAUGGCUCACCAAGGCGUCGACGGGUAGCCGGCCUGAGAGGGUGACCGGCCACACUGGGACUGAGACACGGCCCAGACUCCUACGGGAGGCAGCAGUGGGGAAUAUUGCACAAUGGGCGCAAGCCUGAUGCAGCAACGCCGCGUGAGGGGUGACGGCCUUCGGGUUGUAAACCUCUUUUAGCAGGGAAGAAGCGAAAGUGACGGUACCUGCAGAAAAAGCGCCGGCUAACUACGUGCCAGCAGCCGCGGUAAUACGUAGGGCGCAAGCGUUAUCCGGAAUUAUUGGGCGUAAAGAGCUCGUAGGCGGUCUGUCGCGUCUGCUGUGAAAACUGGAGGCUCAACCUCCAGCCUGCAGUGGGUACGGGCAGACUAGAGUGCGGUAGGGGAGAUUGGAAUUCCUGGUGUAGCGGUGGAAUGCGCAGAUAUCAGGAGGAACACCGAUGGCGAAGGCAGAUCUCUGGGCCGUAACUGACGCUGAGGAGCGAAAGGGUGGGGAGCAAACAGGCUUAGAUACCCUGGUAGUCCACCCCGUAAA